GCCUGCCCAGUGACCAUGUGUUCAACGGCCGCGGUAUUCUGACCGCGCGAAGGUAGCGUAAUCACUUGUCUUCUAAAUAAAGACUAGUAUGAACGGCCACACGAAGACUUAACUGUCUCCCCUGUCCAAUCAGUGAAACUGAUCUCCUUGUGCAGAAGCGAGGAUGAACCCAUAAGACGAGAAGACCCUAUGGAGCUUUAAACUUAAUAUUAACUAUUUCUAUAACCCCCCUCUAAGGAAUUAACAAAUAACCCUUUUCAACUUAAUAUUAGUUUUAGGUUGGGGCGACCAUGGAGAAAAAAAUAUCCUCCCUGAUGACUUUUAAACCAAGAGCUACAGCUCUAAGUAUUAAGAUACUUAACUUCCAUUGACCCAUUUUAUGAUCAACGAACCAAGUUACCCUAGGGAUAACAGCGCAAUCCAUUUCAAGAGUCCCUAUCGACAAAUGGGUUUACGACCUCGAUGUUGGAUCAGGGCAUCCCAGUGGUGCAACCGCUACUAAUGGUUCGUUUGUUCAACGAUUAAAGCCCU
This 531-nucleotide ribosomal RNA is filed under the name Xenophrys lancangica. Its description in RNAcentral is "partial large subunit ribosomal RNA". It matches the Rfam family "Bacterial large subunit ribosomal RNA", at positions 1857 to 2597 of the family's 2925-position model. The record is from RNAcentral. Lineage: Eukaryota; Metazoa; Chordata; Amphibia; Anura; Megophryidae.